GACGAACGCUGGCGGCGUGCCUAACACAUGCAAGUCGAGCGGAGAUGUACUGAAGAUUUAUCGGAUGUACAUCUUAGCGGCGGACGGGUGAGUAACGCGUGGGCAACCUGCCUUCCACUGGGGGAUAACACAGGGAAACCUGUGCUAAUACCGCAUGACAUCACAUAGGGCAUCCUGUGUGAUCAAAGGAGUGAUCCGGUGGAAGAUGGGCCCGCGUCCGAUUAGCUAGUUGGUGAGGUAACGGCUCACCAAGGCGACGAUCGGUAGCCGGACUGAGAGGUUGGCCGGCCACAUUGGGACUGAGACACGGCCCAGACUCCUACGGGAGGCAGCAGUGGGGAAUAUUGCGCAAUGGGGGGAACCCUGACGCAGCGACGCCGCGUGAAGGAGAAGGCCUGGUGUAACUCUUGAUGAGGACGAAGGAAGUGACGGUACCGUCAAAACAAGACCACGGCUAACUACGUGCCAGCAGCCGCGGUAAAAGUC
RNAcentral lists this ribosomal RNA (486 nucleotides) under uncultured bacterium. Its description in RNAcentral is "bacterial SSU rRNA". It matches the Rfam family "Bacterial small subunit ribosomal RNA", at positions 28 to 526 of the family's 1533-position model. The record is from RNAcentral.